Non-coding RNA from Mus caroli (Ryukyu mouse), 537 nucleotides. The record is from RefSeq and is a predicted model, not a curated record. Lineage: Eukaryota; Metazoa; Chordata; Mammalia; Rodentia; Muridae.
ACCAGUAGGACCAGAUGACCAUGGAGGCCUGACCUGGGGCUGCCUGGCAGUAGUGGAAACCCAGGUGCCCCAGAGCUGAGUCUUCCACAGGCACCCAGAAGGCUAUCCUUAAUCCCUCUGCGCCAAGUAGCAGCAAAGCCCAGGAGUUCCCUGAGGGCCAUAGACUACUUGGCUGUAUUCUGUUAUCCCUGCCUUUUCCUGGAACGCCGAGGCUCACAAUGCAACUUCAGAUAAGAACACAAAUAUCAGUGCGGGGCAGCCUGAGCUGAGGAUUCAUCUGGGAGGAUCAACUCUAAGACUGAUGCUCUCACGAAGAUCUCAGGAAUACCCACAAAGAGUGCCUGUCCUCUUGCUCUUGUGUGGGUUCUGUGUCUUACAAACCCACUCUCCUGACCCUGCUUCUCAGCAUGCAUCACCUGUGUGCCUGAGAGAUCCACAAAUGCUAAGCUCUACACUUCACCCUAAGGGGCUCCUCAGCAACCAGGACAACUGUGAGAGGCUGAGGGUGUCACUUCAUCUCUGGAAGAGCACACAAAG